GACGAACGCUGGCGGCGUGCUUAACACAUGCAAGUCGAACGGAAAGGCCCCUUUGGGGGUACUCGAGUGGCGCACGGGUGAGUAACACGUGAGUAACCCGCCCUUGACUUCGGGAUAACUUCAGGAAACUGGGGCUAAUACCGGAUAGGAAUCCUUGCUGCAUGGUGGGGGUUGGAAAGCUUCGGCGGUUUUGGAUGGACUCGCGGCUUAUCAGCUUGUUGGUGGGGUAGUGGCUUACCAAGGCUUUGACGGGUAGCCGGCCUGAGAGGGCGACCGGCCACAUUGGGACUGAGAUACGGCCCAGACUCCUACGGGAGGCAGCAGUGGGGAAUAUUGCACAAUGGGCGGAAGCCUGAUGCAGCAACGCCGCGGGCGGGAUGACGGCCUUCGGGUUGUAAACCGCUUUCAGCAGGGGCGAAGCUUGUGGUGACGGUACCUGCAGAAGAAGCACCGGCUAACUACGUG
Molecule: ribosomal RNA, 465 nt
Filed under: uncultured bacterium
Lineage: Bacteria
Description: partial 16S ribosomal RNA
Rfam family: Bacterial small subunit ribosomal RNA
Source: RNAcentral